AGUGAACGCUGGCGGUAGGCCUAACACAUGCAAGUCGAACGGCAGCACAGUAAGAGCUUGCUCUUACGGGUGGCGAGUGGCGGACGGGUGGGGAAUACAUCGGAAUCUACUUUUUCGUGGGGGAUAACGUAGGGAAACUUACGCUAAUACCGCAUACGACCUACGGGUGAAAGCAGGGGAUCUUCGGACCUUGCGCGAUUGAAUGAGCCGAUGUCGGAUUAGCUAGUUGGCGGGGUAAAGGCCCACCAAGGCGACGAUCCGUAGCUGGUCUGAGAGGAUGAUCAGCCACACUGGAACUGAGACACGGUCCAGACUCCUACGGGAGGCAGCAGUGGGGAAUAUUGGACAAUGGGCGCAAGCCUGAUCCAGCCAUACCGCGUGGGUGAAGAAGGCCUUCGGGUUGUAAAGCCCUUUUGUUGGGAAAGAAAAGCAGCAGGUUAAUACCCCGCUGUUCGGACGGUACCCAAAGAAUAAACACCGGCUAACUUCGU
RNAcentral lists this ribosomal RNA (491 nucleotides) under uncultured bacterium. Its description in RNAcentral is "partial 16S ribosomal RNA". It matches the Rfam family "Bacterial small subunit ribosomal RNA", at positions 29 to 506 of the family's 1533-position model. The record is from RNAcentral.